Molecule: non-coding RNA, 833 nt
Organism: Gallus gallus (chicken)
Lineage: Eukaryota; Metazoa; Chordata; Aves; Galliformes; Phasianidae
Source: the annotation of a RefSeq genome assembly
GAGUCUCAACAGCAGCUGAGCUGGAGCAGCAAACAUGCUGCUGCUGGCAGCUCUGAUGGUCGCAACUGUGUGGCCCAAUGCAUUUGCACAGGAAACUCCCAUACAGAGCCCUGUAUCCAUCACCAUGUCACGAGGAAAUACAGAUCUGAAGUGUCAUUUUAAAGACUUCUCUGGAAAUUUUGAUAACACCGUCAUACACUGGUAUCAACAGAAGGAGAAUAAAGCUCCAGUGAGGAUGAUCUACUUUUCAUCAGGGUCAGUAGCAGUAGAUGAGAGCUUCCAAAGGCACAGGUACAGGAUUCAAACUAUUCCUACACAGAGACUUUGCACUCUUACAAUAAGAAAUGUAAUUCCGGAUGAUGCUGCUACUUACUACUGUGCCUACUGGGACCCUCACUACGGCAAAUGCCAAACAAUCACCUCUGCAAAUACUUCCUCGGCAGUUCAACCACAAAUCAUUUGUCAUAAAACCAUAUAACUCCCAUGGUGUGGAUGAGCUGCUCAGUCAGAAGCACUUCAAUCUAAAUGUCUCUGAGGAUUUGGAGAUCUGCUUCUCUCAAAUGAAGGAUUAUGAAGCUAUCUGCAAAGUCCCUGUUGGCCAUUUCUUCAGUGACAAGUCCAAUCUUAGCCUGGAAAGCUCAAUGGUUGGAAAGAAUCUGCCCAGUACAGGUGUCUUCUUGCAACAGAUGGCACAAAGUUUGCUUUGUAAUUGUGCCUAUCAGAAGAUUUGCUGUGUCAGAAUUCUUCAGGAUAAAACUCAGACAGUAGCUGUCAUUUAGACAUUGGUUGUGUGAGAUCCUGUCACAAUGAUACUCCUUUCUUAUUCAAUUUUC